Molecule: ribosomal RNA, 253 nt
Filed under: uncultured bacterium
Lineage: Bacteria
Description: partial 16S ribosomal RNA
Rfam family: Bacterial small subunit ribosomal RNA
Source: RNAcentral
UACGGAGGGUGCAAGCGUUAUCCGGAUUUACUGGGUUUAAAGGGUGCGCAGGCGGAUAUGUAAGUCAGUGGUGAAAUCUCUGGGCUUAACCCGGAAAUUGCCAUUGAUACUAUAUAUCUUGAAUGCUGUGGAGGUAAGCGGAAUAUGUCAUGUAGCGGUGAAAUGCUUAGAUAUGACAUAGAACAUCUAUUGCGAAGGCAGCUUACUACGCAGAUAUUGACGCUCAUGCACGAAAGCGUGGGGAUCAAACAGG